This 4364-nucleotide long non-coding RNA is filed under the name Sus scrofa (pig). RNAcentral describes it as "lncRNA (ENSSSCG00000062510.1)". Lineage: Eukaryota; Metazoa; Chordata; Mammalia; Artiodactyla; Suidae. The record is from RNAcentral.
UAUAUCUAUCUUGAAUUGAUUAAAGUAUAUACAUGAUAAACUUAACUAGGAUACAGGUCACUUGUUAACUUGUCAGCUUAUGAUCAUUAACCAUAUUAACUGGAUGAUGAAUCUUUUUAAUAAUAGACAUUUUUCAUUAUGCCUGACCUCAUUAAAUCUUGCAGAGUGACAGAUUUUGUUUAAAAUUUUUAAUAGCACUUUUUCAUAGUUCAAAAAAGGGUAUUACAGAUGUUGAGCAGAACAAUUAAAAACAAAACCUUAUUCUAUACAGUUAACCAGUGUGUAGACUUUAUUACAUAGGCACAUAUUUUUUAAGUAAACUUUUUACAUAGAAUUAAUCACAAUUAUACAAGACGUUACACUGAAUGAGGAUGGAUGAUGAAGGAAAGAAAAUUCAGGUCUUGGAUUGGCUGAAUCAUUCAUUGGAUCUUGGGUCCGUCCAUCCUGACACAUUGAAACUCACUCGGAGCAUUGCAAAAAUGGGGAGUGAGGAGGAGGUGUUCUUUAAACACCUGGCUUAAAACACUAAUUCUGUUUAAUUUCUUGAAUAUGGUAAAGUUUCUCCAGGUUCUUUUGGCAGGUGGCACAAAGGUUAAAUUAAUGCUGACUUAGGGGAGUUCAUAUUCUUCCCUCUGUCACCCCCUUACUUCAAACCCCUUAAGAUGCUUUGGUCUAGCAGGUUGCUGGUCAGGAUGCCUGUCUUCCCAGAAUUUCUCCCAUUGGCAACCACAGGGGGUUGGGGGCGGGGGCUGAUCCCGAAGCACAGGGAGGCAAGAGGGGUACUUAGGGCUUUGGUCACAGUGUGGCCAGGUGCUGUCCACAGCUAGCACUGAGGGUUUGAUCUGAGGCAGAAGAUGGGACUGAACAGAGAGGAUGCUGGAGUUCCUUACUCUGUCCAGCUACAAUUGAGUCGUUACAUUUGACCAACUCUUUAAGUAGAGGGAACUAAAAUCAUACUAACAAGUAUCAUACAAGAAAUGCUAUUUUGUAGCUUGUCUAUGUUUUUAAAAAUUUUUUAACCACAUUUACCAAGAAACUGUGAGGAUAGGGAGGACUGACCCUUUCACUCAUCUUGUUUUGCUGUAACUGUGUUACAAAUAGCCCCCAAAUGGUUACUGCGUCGAUUUCUGUAGUCUUCUGUAUAAAGGGCUGUGAUCAUUCCUGACAUCACUAUCUUGGAGGGUUAGACCUGCUUCUGCUUCAAAUAGAACCCAAAUCCUAUCUGUUUCUUUUCACACUCAUACCAUAGCUAUGCUGGGUGAUGCCAGGGAACCUCCAGAGCAGUGUUCCAACUGAUCUUCACCAUCCUUUUGAUCUUCCUUGUUUAUGUUUUGAAGGCAACUACAGAAUAGAGGACUGCAGGGUUUUCUGUGUUUCUGUUGUCUGGGCAGAUGGAAGAGGAUGGCGACAUAAAAAGGGAAAUGAUAGGCCAGCUGACUUUUCCUGUAUUCAGAUUGUAAACUUUUUGGUCCUUAUAGCUACUAUAUGAAGCGUCCUGUUGACAUGAAGUAUCACCGACAGUGGCACCAAAGGGUAUUUUGUGAAAGAAUCCAUAAAACUGGAACUGGAAAGGAGCUUCCUCACUUUUUUCACUGAGGUCACUGAAGUCCAGCUGGGAAAAUAGCAAGUAACUUAAUAUGGUGAUUGUCUCCAUGACUGUGUCCUUUAGAGAUUCACAGGCACCCCAGUUCUCCCUUGAUAAAGGAUACCCCCCAGUGUCUUUACAUCAGCAGUCCACAGUGUCCUUGGGUUUGGCCUUAGCUCACUUUAGGAAAGCUGGCUGCCAGGACAGCACCUUGACCAAAUAUUUGUUGGACUGAAUUAAUUCUGUUAUUUAUCCCUGCUAGGCACUCUUAUUAUUCUUGGAGGUCCUUAGCAUUUAAGGGAUGAUCUCUAGUUCAAGUAUUCUGAGGUUUGGUGGCCAGUGCUGUAUGUCAUUUCUCUACAGGUGUUUUGUUUUGGUUUUUGUUUUUUGUGGGCAAGACAAAGCUGAGUUUAUGUAUUCUUUACUGUGGAAAGGAAUACACCCCUCAUCUGGGUCCUGAGAGCAUCUCGAAGGUGGGUGACAGGAUAUUUAUUUAUGUAAUUGUUUGGCCCCACCCAUGGCAUGUGGAAGUUCCCAAGCCAGGGAUUGUGUCCAAGCCACAGAUGCAACCUACACUGUACUGCUGGAUCCUUUAACUGCCACAUCUGGCUGGGGAUCAAACCAGCAUGUCGAGGAGAGCAACCCCAGCCACUGUAGUCGGAUUCUUAACCCACUUCACCACAGUGGGAGCUCCAAGUUUAAGAUAUUUAUUGAGACUUUAUGUCUAGGGCAAGACAGUUCUUUUCAUGUAGGAGUUUGGUCGAGAUUUGUUAAGUAAGGAUCAGGACAAGCUAGUUUGGGGUGGGUGGGCACAGCAGGAGGUGGAGUUCCCUACACUUUAUUUUUUCAUAUUGCCGUUCUUUUUUUUUUUUUUAUUCUGUUGCUUUAUAGCUUUUCAUUACAUGCAGUUAUUAUUUGCUCCUUCCAGGCAUUACCAGAUGGAUAGUGUCUGCCUUUACAGGCCUGGAACUGUAAAUUCAGAGAUACUUUUCUUUUUUUCAAUGGUUCAAUGGUUAAAACAAAAGGACUAGACUCAGUCAGAUUUGCUAAGGCACAGAGUAGAAGAAAUGUAAAAGUUCCAUAUUCCUGCUUUAGCGAAUACAUGGGAAAAUAGUACCGAUACACGUCUGUCUCCUACAUUUAUAACUGCCUUGUACAUUUCUUUUAAGUCCUUAAAUACGAGUCAUAAUAUCCAAAACAAGUUUCAUUUACAAAGAACGUAGUUAAGAAAUGGUGAAGAAAUAGUGACUUUUAAGGAAUUGGCACUUAGACAUUGGUAAUGUUUAGAAAAUGUGUUGGUUUAGAACGUGGUGAGAAUGCUAUGACUAAUUUUAUAUAAGAGUUGUCAUGGUUUGGAUGACACGUGGUAGUGAAAUUUUGGAGAUAAUUCCUUUCCUUGGUGAUAUUUCUUAUAGGUUUUGUCUUUUGGUCAGUUUUGUUUGAAUUUUCUGUCACGUUGCCUUUUUUUUUUUGGCUUUUAAGGGCCACACCUGCAGCAUGUGAAGUUCCCAGGCAGCUGCAGGCCUGCACCACAGCUCACGGCAGCACCGAAUCUUUAAGCCACUGAGCAAGGCCAGGGAUCAAACCCACAUCCUCACGGAUACUGGCUGGAUUCGUUAACCACUAAGCCACAAUGGAAACUCCUUUAAGUUGCAUUCUUAUCAUGACCUAAACUCUAGAUAUGCUAGAAUUAACUUAUCAUCAUCUUCCAUUCGUAGAAGAGUUAAAGUUACCAUUCCCAAGUGGGAAAACUUCUAAAAAGUAGACUAGAUGGCAGUGCUUCCUACUCAAUUAGCUUAAUAUUUUCAGGGCUUUUAAAAAAAAAUGUCAAAUCAUUGUUUUCUCACUACUAAACUUAUUAUGAGAUUUAAAGCAGCUUCUGAAAUCAGAAUGCCAUUUCACAAGUUUCAGCCUUACUACCUCAGACUUCCAUCUUCCUGUGGUGACAAAACAAAUAUGUAGUAAUAGUGGUCAGUGGCUAGUGUUGGGGAAAACAAAGACCUAGCACACCAAGACUGACCAUGCACUCUGUUAAAUGCUUUCUUCUCCUGCUGACCAUUCGAAUGGGCUCACAGAUCUGACUUGCAUAUCUGUGCUGUUAUGUGGGGGCACAAAAAUGUGUUUCAUUAUGAGGUACACUGCAGUUUAAAUUCAGCUGUGCAUUAAGUACUGACAGUUAUCAUUAGUUGACCGCGGAGGCAAGGCAAGAAAAAUUUAAGUGCUCCAGGAAAUAAAAGCAUGCUUGCAUGCUUUAAUAUAAGUAUUUAAUGAUAAGGGUUAGGUAGGCUUAAAAUCUCAAGGUCAGUAUUCCUUCAGCAAACAUUUAUUGAAUACUUAAUAUUUUUCCUUUAUUUCACCAAUAUAUAUUUGUCCUAUUAGCAAGGCUGUAAAGUGGCUGAAAGUUGUUAUAUUCCAAGCUUGAUGCUAGGUGCUGGAAGCAAGGAAUAAAUUACAUUUCUUGCCUCCAUGGAUCACAUUUCUUGAGAAUGUGAAUUUCCAGGGAAAUAAGCCCCUACCCUCAUCAACUGAAUUUGAAUAAAAAUUACUCUCGUUUGGGAGUUCCCAUCAUGGCAAAGUGGAAAUGGGUCCGACUAGGAACUAUGGGGUUUCAGGUUCGAUCCCUGGCCUCUCUCAGUGGGUUAAGGAUCUGACGAUGCCAUGAGCUGUGGUGUAGGUCGAAGACACAGCUUGGAUCUGAUGUGGCUGUGGCUGUGGCCAGCAGCUGUAGCUCUGAUUGGACCCCUAGCCUGGGAACCUCCAUAUGCUAUGAGUGUGGCCC